AUGCUCACUUUGGUAACACAUAUACUAAAAUUUGAAUGAUACAGAGAUUAGCAUGGCCCCUGUGCAAGAAUGACAUGCAAAUUCUUUAAGCUUUCCAUAUUUAA
Molecule: small nuclear RNA, 104 nt
Organism: Gracilinanus agilis (Agile Gracile Mouse Opossum)
Lineage: Eukaryota; Metazoa; Chordata; Mammalia; Didelphimorphia; Didelphidae
Source: RefSeq, a predicted model, not a curated record